GGGAAUGUGGCUUAGUGGUAGAGGGCUUGCCUAGCAUGCAUGAAGUCCUGGGUUCAAUUCCCCAGCACCA
This 70-nucleotide transfer RNA is filed under the name Dipodomys ordii (Ord's kangaroo rat). It matches the Rfam family "tRNA". Rfam says of the family: Transfer RNA (tRNA) molecules are approximately 80 nucleotides in length. The record is from Rfam by way of RNAcentral. Lineage: Eukaryota; Metazoa; Chordata; Mammalia; Rodentia; Heteromyidae.